This 885-nucleotide ribosomal RNA is filed under the name uncultured bacterium. Its description in RNAcentral is "bacterial SSU rRNA". It matches the Rfam family "Bacterial small subunit ribosomal RNA", at positions 8 to 916 of the family's 1533-position model. The record is from RNAcentral.
AGAGUUUGAUCAUGGCUCAGGACGAACGCUGGCGGCGUGCCUAACACAUGCAAGUCGAACGAAGUAUAUUUUUCGGAGUAUACUUAGUGGCGGACGGGUGAGUAACGCGUGAACAAUCUGCCCUAUACAAAGGAAUAGCCUCGGGAAACCGGGAUUAAAACCAUAUAACACUUUUCGGUCGCAUGACUGGGAAGUCAAAUUGAUUAAGAGGUAUAGGAUGAGUUCGCGUCUGAUUAGCUAGUUGGUGAGGUAAUGGCUCACCAAGGCGACGAUCAGUAGCCGGCCUGAGAGGGUGAACGGCCACACUGGGACUGAGACACGGUCCAGACUCCUACGGGAGGCAGCAGUGGGGAAUAUUGCACAAUGGGCGAAAGCCUGGUGCAGCGACGCCGCGUGAGUGAAGAAGGUCUUCGGAUCGUAAAACUCUGUCCUUGGGGAAGAUAAUGACGGUACCCAAGGAGGAAGCCCCGGCUAACUACGUGCCAGCAGCCGCGGUAAUACGUAGGGGGCGAGCGUUGUCCGGAUUUACUGGGCGUAAAGGGUGAGUAGGCGGUUAUUUAAGUCAGAUGUAAAAGGCUAUGGCUCAACUAUAGUAAGCAUUUGAAACUGGAUAACUUGAGUGCAGGAGAGGUAAGUGGAAUUCCUAGUGUAGCGGUGAAAUGCGUAGAUAUUAGGAGGAACACCAGUGGCGAAGGCGACUUACUGGACUGUAACUGACGCUGAGUCACGAAAGCGUGGGUAGCAAACAGGAUUAGAUACCCUGGUAGUCCACGCUGUAAACGAUGAGUGCUAGGUGUUGGCUAGCGAUAGUCAGUGCCGACGUAAACACAAUAGCACUCCGCCUGGGAGUACGGUCGCAAGACUGAAACUCAAAGGAAUUGACGG